GGGAUGUCCUUUCUAUUAGGCUUUUUUUUAUUUUUUAUUAUUUGCUACAGCUGUACAAGUGGUCUAAUUAGAUAUCACAUACCCUGAUAUAAGCAGGUUUGUAAGAUGCCGCUGGUGUGUUGAAGCCUUUCCGUGCGUCAUUGCCAGGGAUCGCCCCUUCCGUUUCGCUCCUCCCGCUUCCGCAUUUGCCCUGUUUGUUUGCAGGUAUGUGUUGUGUAGCUCAGCGCUUAUCCCUUAAUGACUUGAGGUAAACAUCACUCUAAACACUUCAUUUAUAGCUCUUGGAUCAUUCGUGUUGAUUAUCAUUUGUGACUGUUCCUGUAUCUAACCUUCCUCGGCGUAAUCUCGUGCCGGCCGCCGCUCUUGCGUGCACGCGAUCAGUGAAGACAUUCUAAGGUACGUGUUUGUUUGCAAGUAUGUGUUGUGUAGCCUAUCGCUUAUUGAAUGUGUGACGUGAAAUAAGUGUCUAAACAUUCGAUUCAUAGCUCUGGGAUGGCUCGUGAAUAAUUACUAUUCGUGGCUGCUCCUGCAUGUUCUCCUGUGUGAACUUGUGCUGGCUGCUGCGAUUCGGUGUGUGCGCUCUCGCAGUGACGUUGAAGGUACGUGUGUGCGCUCUCGCAGUGACGUUGAAGGUACGUGUAGUUUUAUUGCACUUGAACAUUUCUAAUGAGGCUGGAAAUAAUUUUAAUUAAUUCCCUGUAGGAGGAAUAUUUGGAUUUGGGACUAUGAUUAGCUGGCAACUAUUUAUGAUGAUGCUGCUGCUUUGUCUGUGAUUGUUCUACGAUGCAAUUUUAAAGCUUUUUGCAUCAACGUUGUGUGACGUUGGGGACAGAGUGGACGCUAAGGCGUCGGUUAAAGCCCGUCACAUAAAUGUAUAAUUGGGCCUUUUUUGGUUAAAUCUGUUUAUUCAUUUAUUUGUAUUUCUUAUGUUUUCUACCUGCCUUGGUUGUAAAUUGUCCUGCACCAUUAAUCUGAUCUUGAGGUGCAUUUCCCCAGUUGGCUGGACUUUUGAUCUUAAUGCAGGAGCCGAGGCUGCCGGCUGUCCAUUAGUAGGCCUCGAGUACGGUGGUGGGACUUCCGGAGUGCAGUGUGUUCACCAUUGAUGCCUGUGUGUGUAGUGUGGUGAGAGUGGAGCACCGGGUGUUUAAGGUUGCAGUGAUACCGGGGCUGUGUGCUCCUUAAUUAAUUUGGACUACCAUAGGCAUGCCUCGGUCUCCUUCAUAGUAACUCUUAGAUUUUCUAGCCUGAUGCCAUCGUACAUAAUUGAUUUUAAGAUUCCUGUUUUAAUAUAAUAAAGUUUUGUAUUUUUUGGUA
Paramisgurnus dabryanus is the source of this 1314-nucleotide long non-coding RNA. RefSeq lists it as uncharacterized. The record is from RefSeq and is a predicted model, not a curated record. NCBI's taxonomy places the organism in Eukaryota, Metazoa, Chordata, Actinopteri, Cypriniformes, Cobitidae.